UGCUUAACACAUGCAAGUCGAACGCAACCUUCGGGUUGAGUGGCGGACGGGUGAGUAACGCGUGAGAAUCUGCCUUGGGGUCGGGGACAACCACUGGAAACGGUGGCUAAUACCGGAUAAUCCUUUGGGUAAAAAAUUUAUUGCCCCAAGAGGAGCUCGCGUCUGAUUAGCUAGUUGGUGAGGUAAGAGCUCACCAAUGCAGCGAUCAGUAGCUGGUCUGAGAGGACGAUCAGCCACACUGGGACUGAGACACGGCCCAGACUCCUACGGGAGGCAGCAGUGGGGAAUUUUCCGCAAUGGGCGAAAGCCUGACGGAGCAAGACCGCGUGAGGGAGGAAGGCUCUUGGGUUGUAAACCUCUUUUCUCAGGGAAGAAGCUCUGACGGUACCUGAGGAAUCAGCCUCGGCUAACUCCGUGCCAGCAGCCGCGGUAAUACGGAGGAGGCAAGCGUUAUCCGGAAUUAUUGGGCGUAAAGCGUCCGCAGGUGGCGAUUCAAGUCUGCUGUCAAAGCACGGGGCUUAACUCCGUUAAGGCAGUGGAAACUGAAUAGCUAGAGUGCCGUAGGGGUAGAGGGAAUUCCCGGUGUAGCGGUGAAAUGCGUAGAGAUCGGGAAGAACAUCGGUGGCGAAAGCGCUCUACUGGACGGCAACUGACACUCAGGGACGAAAGCUAGGGGAGCGAAUGGGAUUAGAUACCCCAGUAGUCCUAGCUGUAAACGAUGGAUACUAGGUGUAGCUUGUAUCGACCCGAGCUGUGCCGAAGCUAACGCGUUAAGUAUCCCGCCUGGGGAGUACGCACGCAAGUGUGAAACUCAAAGGAAUUGACGGGGGCCCGCACAAGCGGUGGAGUAUGUGGUUUAAUUCGAUGCAACGCGAAGAACACUUACCAGGGCUUGACAUGUCCGGAAUCCCGGUGAAAGCUGGGAGUGCCUUCGGGAGCCGGAACACAGGUGGUGCAUGGCUGUCGUCAGCUCGUGUCGUGAGGUGUUGGGUUAAGUCCCGCAACGAGCGCAACCCUCGUCUUUAGUUGCCAGCAUUAAGUUGGGCACUCUAGAGAGACUGCCGGUGACAAACCGGAGGAAGGUGGGGAUGACGUCAAGUCAGCAUGCCCCUUACGCUCUGGGCGACACACGU
This 1133-nucleotide ribosomal RNA is filed under the name uncultured organism. RNAcentral's name for it is "bacterial SSU rRNA". It matches the Rfam family "Bacterial small subunit ribosomal RNA", at positions 45 to 1223 of the family's 1533-position model. The record is from RNAcentral.